This is a long non-coding RNA of Raphanus sativus (radish), 191 nucleotides long. RefSeq lists it as uncharacterized. Lineage: Eukaryota; Viridiplantae; Streptophyta; Magnoliopsida; Brassicales; Brassicaceae. The record is from RefSeq and is a predicted model, not a curated record. The transcript has 3 exons.
UUCCCGACACUCAUGGAAGAAGUGUGUGUUCAAGCUUAAAUAAGAGCCACAACCCUGCCAACACACAUUUUCUUCGAUCUACAAUGACUGCAGAGUUUCUUCCCUUUAGCAGUGUUAAAAGGUGCUUGUAUGUGUCAUUUGAGUCUUUGAGAAGUCUCUAUUCCACACAGGAGCUUGAUGGCGUCUCUGUG